AUGCUUUGGCAGCAGGUAUAUUAAAAUUGGAAUGAUACGGAGAGGAUUAGCAUGUCCCCAGGUAAGGAUGACACACAACUUCAUGAAGCAUUCCAAAAAAUG
This is a small nuclear RNA of Phodopus roborovskii (desert hamster), 102 nucleotides long. NCBI's taxonomy places the organism in Eukaryota, Metazoa, Chordata, Mammalia, Rodentia, Cricetidae. The record is from RefSeq and is a predicted model, not a curated record.